UCAUCUGGUCUGACUCCGACUACCACACCUGAGGUGCAAAAAACGCAGUAACUUUUGAUUGCCAUCUUGUUCCUGUCCGGAUGUUGGCAUAACCAGUCCUGUAACCCUGGACGUGCAGCAAGCCAUCUAGAAAUGGUGGUGAAUUCCAUCAAUACAAACAGAAAAUGUUGCAGGUAGCCCUCCUGCUCACAGCUCCAGUCAGUCAACAAUGUCUUUCUGCAGAAUACCAUUUCUUCUUCAACUCAGGCUCCCGGCCUCUCCUCUCACAAGCAGUUUCCGGAGGAUGGACUGUUGCUAGUGGAGUUGUCCUUUUUAUUACUGUUCUCAGCCAUCCCACAGCCCUAUGCAGAGAAUCUGUUCCAGCAUUAACUUUGCAAUGCUGAUUCACGUUCCAGGGAAGAUAUGAUAAUCGCGUGGCAGGAAUCAGAGAAGAAAGAAUAGCAAGCAGCAAAGCUUGACAUUUCUUCUGCCAUUUUCAAUAUGGGUGUAAAAGUCCUAGUUGGGUAAUAUUUUUAUAGGUGUUUGGAUUGUUUUAAAAUAAAGUGCAGAGGAGCUAAAGGCUACUUUAUGUAUCAUGGAUGAAGUGUAAACUGGUACACCUUGGAUUAUUCAGUUCAGUUGAUUACACUCAUAGACCAGCUCAAAGUAAAUCCAAAAAUAAAACAUCCAAUUUGCCAAUGGUGAAUAGUGAAAAUAAACAUUGUGAAUAUUGAAACCUAAAUGUGAAUAACUAAUUGAAAUAAAAUCGUAUAA
Python bivittatus (Burmese python) is the source of this 753-nucleotide non-coding RNA. Lineage: Eukaryota; Metazoa; Chordata; Lepidosauria; Squamata; Pythonidae. The record is from RefSeq and is a predicted model, not a curated record.